AUUAAAAACUAGUUAGUGCUUACGAGUUGGUCAUAUGUGGCAUUGAACAACUGGGGAGUUAUCAUUUUCUCGAACAAAGCAUUAAAUUCUCAACUUAAAACUACUUUAGAAUGGGUGUCUGGGCUAAUUGUUGAAGUUGAUGAACAACAUGAGACAUUCUGGGGCGCAUUGAUGGCACAUGCUGUGUACAAGCAUAAACAAGGUCCACCACCUUCUGAAUCACACUGGCCUCUGGAAUAUCAGACGAAAAAGCAGUUAUGUGCGGAUCCAGGAGAUCUGGGUAUCGAUGAGCUUGGACAAGGGGUGUUGCCCACUCGAAAAUACUCUGCCAACCGACUGAAUCAACAGCCUGGGCAGGCCUACGUCCGCUCACAAUUUCAAGCAGUAGCACGCCAAAACUAUAAACGUCACUCUUUGUUGUAAGCUCAUUUCUGUACACAAACUCUGGAGCCAGGUAUCCAUACGUGCCACCAGCUAUCACUGUCCUCUCAUGCAUCACUUCAUAUGGCACAAACUUUGAUAGACCAACCCCCAUCAGAUGGGCUCCAAAAUCUUCAUCAAGAAGUACAUUACUAGCACGGAUAUCCCGAUGCACAACAUGGGGCUUAACCUUGUCAUGUAGAAACCUGUUGUAAAAUAAAUUAUGGGCAAACACCAGUUAAAUAAAAAACAGUCUCGCAUGAUUCCAUCCUAGCAACGCAAUAAUCCAGUGUCUCGUAGGCUAAAGCACAUAAAGCACUAAUGAUCAAACCUUGGUUACACUCUUAAUAAUGGUGUUGAACAAGAUAAAAUUCACUAUCAGUUUAUUCAUAAGUUUUCCAAAUUGAGCAAGUUCGUCAAAACAUCGUUUUCUUUUGCUUUCACAAUGCGUCUAGCGUACAAAUUUCAAAAGCAAAUCAAGUUUUUUCAUCUACUUCAGGUUAACACAUAAAUUUUCCAAAAAAAUUUGUGUUUUCUCUACAAGUCACUAGGUUUAAGCUCCAUCAUGCAAGAUCUGCCAACAGAAGAUCCUAAAUAUAACUACUUCUAGCAGAACAUCCUAAAGAACAUAGGAAAGAAGCAUUAUAAUGAAUAGCAUCCUUGUACAUUUCAACAGGUGUUCACUUAGGUUGAGAAAUUGGGUCAUAUGGCAACAAUCAGAUAUGACGAUCACAUGAUUAUGGAUAUAAAU
Molecule: long non-coding RNA, 1171 nt
Filed under: Fragaria vesca (wild strawberry)
Lineage: Eukaryota; Viridiplantae; Streptophyta; Magnoliopsida; Rosales; Rosaceae
Description: long non-coding RNA (FVES_LNC001479)
Source: RNAcentral